UCCGACUCAAUUUCUUGCCUC
This 21-nucleotide non-coding RNA is filed under the name Arabidopsis thaliana (thale cress). The record is from RNAcentral. Lineage: Eukaryota; Viridiplantae; Streptophyta; Magnoliopsida; Brassicales; Brassicaceae.